Molecule: ribosomal RNA, 495 nt
Filed under: uncultured bacterium
Lineage: Bacteria
Description: partial 16S ribosomal RNA
Rfam family: Bacterial small subunit ribosomal RNA
Source: RNAcentral
GAUGAACGCUGGCGGCGUGCUUAACACAUGCAAGUCGAACGAAGCAUCUCUCCCGAAGAUUGACACAGCUUGCUGUAGAUUGAUUCAUUUGAGGUGACCGAGUGGCGGACGGGUGAGUAACGCGUGGGUAACCUGCCUCAUAGAGGGGGACAACAGUUGGAAACGACUGCUAAUACCGCAUAGUAAGAAGAAUUCGCAUGUUUUCUUCUUGAAAGAUUUAUCGCUAUGAGAUGGACCCGCGUCUGAUUAGCUAGUUGGUAAGGUAACGGCUUACCAAGGCGACGAUCAGUAGCCGGCUUGAGAGAGUGAACGGCCACAUUGGGACUGAGACACGGCCCAAACUCCUACGGGAGGCAGCAGUGGGGAAUAUUGCACAAUGGGGGAAACCCUGAUGCAGCGACGCCGCGUGAGUGAAGAAGUAUUUCGGUAUGUAAAGCUCUAUCAGCAGGGAAGAUAAUGACGGUACCUGACUAAGAAGCCCCGGCUAACUACGUG